CCCCCCCCAGUUCCCUCCUGGGGGCUCUGCGGGACCCCGAGCGCAGCCGAUUGGUCGAGGCCGCCUUGGCCGUCCUGGCCCCGCCCAAAAUCCGGGAGCUCUUCCGGGACCACCUGCGGGGGCACCUGAGGGGCGUGGCCUCCCACAGGGUGGCCAAUCACGGCCUCCAGAGGCUGCUGGACCACGCCCCCGAGGAUGUGGUGGAGGAGGUGCUCUCGGAGCUGGGCCCCGCCCUGGGGGAGCCGCUGGCCCGGGGCCACCCCGGGGUGGUCACAGCCCUGCUCGGGGCCGCCCGGAGACACCCCCGGCUCCAGGGCCCCGCCCUCCGCUGGCUGCUGCAGGCUCUCGACUGCUGGGACCCCCCCGAGCGCCGCGACCAAUGCCUGCGCCCCCUGGCCGAGCUCCGCCCCCGGGGGGGCGGGGACAGUGAGGAGGCGGGG
Lepidothrix coronata (blue-crowned manakin) is the source of this 440-nucleotide long non-coding RNA. RefSeq lists it as uncharacterized. Lineage: Eukaryota; Metazoa; Chordata; Aves; Passeriformes; Pipridae. The record is from RefSeq and is a predicted model, not a curated record. The transcript is spliced from 3 exons.